AUUGAACGCUGGCGGCAGGCCUAACACAUGCAAGUCGAACGAGUUGCGGACGGGUGAGUAAUGUCUGGGAAACUGCCUGAUGGAGGGGGAUAACUACUGGAACCGGUAGCUAAUACCGCAUACCAUCGGAUGUGCCCAGUUGGGAUUAGCUAGUAGGUGGGGUAAAGGCUCACCUAGGCGACGAUCCAUAGCUGGUCUGAGAGGAUGACCAGACACACUGGAACUGAGACACGGUCCAGACUCCGACGGGAGGCAGCAGUGGGGAAUAUUGCACAAUGGGCGCAAGCCUGAUGCAGCCAUGCCGCGUGUAUGAAGAAGGCCUUCGGGUUGUAAAGGACUUUCAGCGGGGAGGCGUUACCCGCAGAAGAAGCACCGGCUAACUCCGUGCCAGCCGCCGCGGUAAUAC
RNAcentral lists this ribosomal RNA (406 nucleotides) under uncultured bacterium. Its description in RNAcentral is "partial 16S ribosomal RNA". It matches the Rfam family "Bacterial small subunit ribosomal RNA", at positions 30 to 526 of the family's 1533-position model. The record is from RNAcentral.